This 1424-nucleotide ribosomal RNA is filed under the name Saccharomycopsis fibuligera. RNAcentral describes it as "SSU rRNA". It matches the Rfam family "Eukaryotic small subunit ribosomal RNA", at positions 260 to 1714 of the family's 1831-position model. The record is from RNAcentral. Lineage: Eukaryota; Fungi; Ascomycota; Saccharomycetes; Ascoideales; Saccharomycopsidaceae.
CUUCUCGAAUCGCAAGGCUUCAUGCUGGCGAUGGUUCAUUCAAAUUUCUGCCCUAUCAACUUUCGAUGGUAGGAUAGUGGCCUACCAUGGUUUCAACGGGUAACGGGGAAUAAGGGUUCGAUUCCGGAGAGGGAGCCUGAGAAACGGCUACCACAUCCAAGGAAGGCAGCAGGCGCGCAAAUUACCCAAUCCUGACACAGGGAGGUAGUGACAAUAUAUAACGAUGCAGGGCCCUUACGGGUCUUGUAAUUGGAAUGAGUACAAUUUAAAUACCUUAACGAGGAACAAUUGGAGGGCAAGUCUGGUGCCAGCAGCCGCGGUAAUUCCAGCUCCAAGAGCGUAUAUUAAAGUUGUUGCAGUUAAAAAGCUCGUAGUUGAACUUUGGGCUUGGCUGGCCGGUCCGUUUUUUAACGAGUACUGGUUUUCAGCCGAGCCUUUCCUCCUGGUUUCUGUGUAGUUGGGCUUGUCUCAGCUGCAUAUGAUCCAGGACUAUUACUUUGAAAAAAUUAGAGUGUUCAAAGCAGGCGUUUAGCUCGAAUAUAUUAGCAUGGAAUAAUGAAAUAGGACGUAUGUUCUAUUUGUGGUUUCUAGGACCAUCGUAAUGAUUAAUAGGACGGUCGGGGCAUCAGUAUUCAAUUGUCAGAGGUGAAUUUCUGGAUUAUUGAAGACUAACUACUGCGAAAGCAUUUGCCAAGGACGUUUUCAUUAAUCAAGAACGAAAGUUAGGGGAUCGAAGAUGAUCAGAUACCGUAGUAGUCUUAACCAUAAACUAUGCCGACUAGGGAUCGGGUGUUGUUCUUUUACUGACUCACUCGGCACCUUACGAGAAAUCAAAGUUUUUGGGUUCUGGGGGGAGUAUGGUCGCAAGGCUGAAACUUAAAGGAAUUGACGGAAGGGCACCACCAGGAGUGGAGCCUGCGGCUUAAUUUGACUCAACACGGGGAAACUCACCAGGUCCAGACACAAUAAGGAUUGACAGAUUGAGAGCUCUUUCUUGAUUUUGUGGGUGGUGGUGCAUGGCCGUUCUUAGUUGGUGGAGUGAUUUGUCUGCUUAAUUGCGAUAACGAACGAGACCUUAACCUACUAAAUAGUACUGUUAGCGUUUGCUGAUAUAGUUACUUCUUAGAGGGACUAUCGGUUUCAAGCCGAUGGAAGUUUGAGGCAAUAACAGGUCUGUGAUGCCCUUAGACGUUCUGGGCCGCACGCGCGCUACACUGACGGAGCCAACGAGUAUAUCCUUUGCCGAGAGGUAUGGGUAAUCUUGUGAAACUCCGUCGUGCUGGGGAUAGAGCAUUGCAAUUAUUGCUCUUCAACGAGGAAUUCCUAGUAAGCGUAAGUCAUCAGCUUGCGUUGAUUACGUCCCUGCCCUUUGUACACACCGCCCGUCGCUAGUACCGAUUGAAUGGCUUAGUGAGGCCUCAGGA